Molecule: non-coding RNA, 1265 nt
Organism: Cyanistes caeruleus (blue tit)
Lineage: Eukaryota; Metazoa; Chordata; Aves; Passeriformes; Paridae
Source: RefSeq, a predicted model, not a curated record
UUUGCCCCUGAGCUUGACAGCAGACAAUACAUAGGUUGUGCUGGAGAAGGCAGCUACAUCCACAGGUGCAGGAUUUCCUAGCACCUUUUUCUCCUUUGCCUGACACCUUUUGCAGAGCUGCCAGAUGAAGUUUUCAUACCAGAAGGUCCCUGUGUACAUCUCUCUUUGGGCAAUACAGAGACUGCACCAGUGCUGCCUUUGAGGUUUUGGCUCUCAGGGCUCUUGACGAAACCAGUAAACCACUCUGUGCUCCGUGAGGGGCUACAUCACAGGACUUGGCCCUGCCCCAACAGACCCUGGGGACCUCCAGCCACCAGGGAACCACUGCACCCUGUGACACCCUGCACAAUGGACCAUGGAGAACACUGAAGGGCUUACACAAAGACAAGGACUUUUCUUCUCCUCAUCCCAACCAAUCAGUGAGUGGCCUGGAGGUACCCAAGGAGUUUGAGGGGAACACCUCUGGGACAGCUGACCUCUACUGACCAUAGAAUUUCAGGAUUGAUAAUGAAGAUUCACCCUUCCUAGUGGAAGAGAAAUGUGGACACCUCAUGGAAACUCCAUGCUGAUUGUGUGGGAGCAUUGAGGGGAAGGAGCAGCACAUUUAAAUGGGAGAAUUACUGUAGAAACCUGGCAGGCCCCCCUUGACACCAAUGAAGAAGUCAACAAGAAGAAAAGUCAGACUCUUCGCAGAGGUGGGAGGAUGACAGACUAUGGAUAUGAGUGGAAAUAAAAACAGUUGAGCCUGAAUAUAACAGAAAACUUUUUCAAAGUGAGGAGAGUGGAAAAGAUUGCCUUUGAAGGUUGUAACUGCAGUUUCUGCUGUCUCCACAUUUGGUUUUGGCCAGUCAGGUCUUGAAAACCUUUUAGAGAAACCUGGUCUGAUCCCCUGUGCAGAAAGUUAGACUAAAGGUCUCUUGAGGUCCCUUUCAAUUUAAAUUUUCCUGUAGUUGUUUCUGUGAUUCUCAAAGGUGCUGACUUGUUAUCUGAGAUGCUAACAAUCAUUUUCAGCAAGGGACUGGACUAAAUACUUUAAAUAUAAUUCUAUUUCAUGUUAAGCCAUUAUUUAAAAUACUGACUAGCACUAGAUUCACAGCAGAUCACUCCAAAUCCCAUCUUGAGACUGAAAAUUCUGACUUAAGACGUGAGUGUUGUUUUAAAAUCAGGUAUUCAUGCACUGACAUUUCCAUUGAAUUGUAUUUAUGAGAUGUGAGACUAUCAUGCAGGUAUGUGGAAAAGCUUAGGUAGAUAACAUAAAUGUCAUA